Molecule: ribosomal RNA, 187 nt
Filed under: uncultured rumen bacterium
Lineage: Bacteria
Description: partial 16S ribosomal RNA
Rfam family: Bacterial small subunit ribosomal RNA
Source: RNAcentral
UACGGGAGGCAGCAGUGAGGAAUAUUGGUCAAUGGGCGAGAGCCUGAACCAGCCAAGUAGCGUGCAGGAUGACGGCCCUAUGGGUUGUAAACUGCUUUUAUGCGGGGAUAAAGUGAGGGACGUGUCCCUUAUUGUAGGUACCGCAUGAAUAAGGACCGGCUAAUUCCGUGCCAGCAGCCGCGGUAAU